UGCCAAAAUACAGAGGUCGUCCUCUAUAUAGU
This 32-nucleotide non-coding RNA is filed under the name Rattus norvegicus (Norway rat). Lineage: Eukaryota; Metazoa; Chordata; Mammalia; Rodentia; Muridae. The record is from RNAcentral.